AACGAACGCUGGUGGCGUGUUUUAUACAUGCAAGUCGAGCGAGGACAGUAGCUUGCUACUGAGCCGAGCGGCGAACGGGUGAGUAACGCGUAAGCAAUCUGCCCCACAAUCGGGAACAACCGUGCCAACGCGCGGCUAAUGCCGGAUAUUGUGUCCUACUGCAUAGUAGGUUAACGAAAGAUUUAUCGUUGUGGGAUGAGCUUGCGUCCGAUUAGCUAGUUGGCGGGGUAAUAGCCCACCAAGGCGACGAUCGGUAGCCGGCCUGAGAGGGUGAUCGGCCACAUUGGGACUGAGAUACGGCCCAGACUCCUACGGGAGGCAGCAGUGGGGAAUUUUGGACAAUGGGCGCAAGCCUGAUCCAGCCAUGCCGCGUGCAGGAUGAAGGCCUUCGGGUUGUAAACUGCUUUUGUACGGAACGAAAAAGCUCUCUCUAAUACAGGGGGUGAAUGACGGUACCGUAAGAAUAAGCACCGGCUAACUACGUGCCAGCAGCCGAC
This 497-nucleotide ribosomal RNA is filed under the name uncultured bacterium. Its description in RNAcentral is "bacterial SSU rRNA". It matches the Rfam family "Bacterial small subunit ribosomal RNA", at positions 29 to 518 of the family's 1533-position model. The record is from RNAcentral.